CCUACGGGGGGCAGCAGUGAGGAAUAUUGGUCAAUGGGCGGAAGCCUGAACCAGCCAAGUAGCGUGCAGGAUGACGGCCCUACGGGUUGUAAACUGCUUUUAUACGGGAAUAACGCGCCUUACGUGUAGGGCUUUGCAUGUACCGUAUGAAUAAGGACCGGCUAAUUCCGUGCCAGCAGCCGCGGUAAUACGGAAGGUCCGGGCGUUAUCCGGAUUUAUUGGGUUUAAAGGGAGCGUAGGCCGCAUGUCAAGCGUGCUGUGAAAUGUUCGGGCUCAACCCGGGCAUUGCAGCGCGAACUGGAGUGCUUGAGUGCGCGGAAGGCAGGCGGAAUUCGUGGUGUAGCGGUGAAAUGCUUAGAUAUGACGAAGAACCCCGAUUGCGAAGGCAGCUGGCUGCAGCGGAACUGACGCUGAUGCUCGAAAGCGCGGGUAUCGAACAGGAUUAGAUACCCGAGUAGUC
RNAcentral lists this ribosomal RNA (460 nucleotides) under uncultured bacterium. RNAcentral describes it as "partial 16S ribosomal RNA". It matches the Rfam family "Bacterial small subunit ribosomal RNA", at positions 338 to 795 of the family's 1533-position model. The record is from RNAcentral.